GUUCUGGGGCCUUAAGAAUUCUUAAGGAACACACCACCCCUCCCCAGCACUUAAUUUGCAUUCAAGUCCGCAAGGUAUUAGCCAGAUGUCUAUGAUCAGAAACUCACAGGCUGACCAAAUUGACCAGGCAAUCUUUUUUUUUUCCCCCAUGCUUCUGUCUCUAAAGUGUUUGGCCACAGGAAGGAUUAAAUCUAAAACUGGCAAGGGCUUCCCUCCAAGGCGGCACACUCAGCUUCCAGAAGACCAUCAGCCAAGCCCAAGGUGGUUCAUUAUGACCAGUUGUGGAAAGCUGGGAGAGAAAGUGAGUCCAGUGGUUUCUCCUUUACAUGGUGCAGUUACUGAAGCCCUGAAACCACAAGUGGCAAUGCAGAAAAACUUUGUGGGUGGGAGUUUCUUUGCCUUGAAUUGCCAUGGGGAUUUCUUUGUCAACAGAGUGUCAGAAGCCUAAAAGAAAAAAAUUCAAAACAAUUCCUUUAACCUUUACUGUCGCUAUUAUGAUGGAGAUCCAAAGAGUUACUCCUAAAAUGAUCUUUCCUGGCCUUGGAAAAUCCAGUAAUGCUUAAGAGGUAGAGGAUAUCUUCCAAUAUAUUAAGAAAAACAUGUGUUCUUUUCCAUGUACAAGUAGUAAGAUUUUAAUCUUUCCACCCAGGUUCUUCCCCCAAACCUGUUAACUAGCAGUCUUUCCCACCUGGUAAAUGGUAGCUCCAUCCUUCUGUGCACUCAGGCCAAAACUCUGGGGGUCAUCUGUUUCAUGUUCUAUGGCUGAAUAACAAAUCACCCCAAGCCUUAAUGGCUUAAACAACAACUGUUUUAUUUGCCCACAAUUCUGUAAAUUGAGCUUAACGUAACUCAGUGGUUUUUCUGCUGCUCUUGCUGCUAGUCACUAGUGUGCUGCAUUUAGCUGGAAGGUGAGCUAGGAGAUAGGCCGAGCUGGGAUGCUGGAUGGCUGAGUGUCCUUCUUACUCCAUGCAGGCUCAGAGCCUCUCUACAGCAUCUUUCCACACCACAUGCCAAAAAGACACGGCAGGUCAAGCUUCCCAGGAGCACAAAAGCAGAAACUACCAGGCCUUCUACAGGUUUAGGUCCAUAAUGGCCCAGCAUCACUUUUGCCACAUUUAUUGCUUAUAUUAAAUCACCUGGUUCAGCCCAGAUUCAAGAGGGAGGGACAGCCUAAGGGCAUUUGUAGCAGAGGCUAGAUUCACUGAGGGCCACCACCUGACAUCCUUGAAUUUUUACUUUCCUUCUGUGAUUCUACAACCAAUCCAUUCACAAAUCCUGUUGGCUUUCCUUUAAAGUGUAGGCUGAAUCUAACUGCUCCUUACCACCUCCACUGCUACAAUCAGAUUGUCUUUUGCCUGAGUUAUUACAAUAGGUUCUGCACUGGUCUCCCUGCUUCCACUCUUGUCCUGACAGUCACCUGUGCACUGGCAGCCAAAAGGAGUAAGAUCAUGGCACCUGUCUGCUCAAAACCUUCCAGUACACCUUGUCCCAGAGUUCCUACAAGGCCCUGGGAUCUGCUCCUUCUUGUUCUCCGACCCCAUACUAUUUCUCUGGCCUCCUUGCUGUUCUUUGAGCAGCCCACACACCCUCCCAUCUCAGAAGCAUUGCACAUGCUUGUACCCCCUGCUUGGAAAGCACUUUCCAGAUGGCUUCACAUGGCUUGCUCUUCCCUCAUCUCCUUCAGCUCUGCUGGAAUGUUACCUUCUUGGCAAGGUCGUCCCUGAGCAAGCUCCUAACCACACCCCCUCCAGCAUUUUGCAUUCCUUUUUUGCUUUAUUUUUCUGUCACGUUUCACUUUCCACAAAUAUAUGGACACUUAAUUUUCAACAAUUAUGGCAUAGCAAAGCAGUAGGGAAAGUGUAUUUUUAAAUGUUCCUGGAGCAAGUAGAUACACAAGUGAAAAAAAUGUGAAUUAUAUCUCAUGCCAUACACAGAAAUAAAUUACAGAUAAACUGUAAAUCUAAAUAUAAAAGACAAAACACAGUUAUUUAUUAAUUUUUGAGACAAGGUCUCCCUCUGUUGCCCAGGCUGGAGCACAGUGGCACGAUCAUGGCUCACCACAGCCUCAACUUCCCAGGCUCAAGCAAUCCUCCCACAUCAGCCUCCCAACUAGCUGGGACUACAGGUGUACACCAUGAUACCCAGAUAAUUUUUUAUAUUUUGUAGAGACAGGGUCUUGCCAUGUUGCCCAGCUUGGUCUUGAACUCCUAGGCUUAAGCAAUCCUCCCACCUUGGCCUCCCAAAGUGCUAGGAUUACAGGUGUGAGCCACCGCACCUGGCCAAAACAAACCUUUAGAAGAUAGUUUGGGGAUGUUCUACUUCUGGGAUGACAGCACGAGAAGCUCCACAGACUCCAACUUCCCAGAGUAUUUGGAAAAUGUUCUAAGAGCAUAAAACAAAUUAAGAAUAUGUUUUCAAGAAAAAUUUACUGAAACUGGCUAAAAACAGCUAGUUUGUGGCAUUUGGGCCAUGACCCACUCCCUGCCCCCCAACUUCCAGCUCAUACUGAUAGAAGAUUCACUCUGGUUGAGUGUGGCCAAGAAGACUGGGGCUGCCUCUCCUUUCAGCUCCCAACCAAGUCCUACUCUAUCUCACCAGGAGGAGCAGGCUGCCGGCAUUUCUCAUCCCCUCCAACUCCAAGUUGAAGAGGCUGGAUCCUGGUGUGCACAUCUGAGAGGCUGGAGGCUACUUUCCUAUAGCCAUCACUUAUUCAUAGACAGAGACUCAACCCCAGGAAAGAAGUUUCUUUUCCCAAGAAAACUGAGGUCCCAAUCACCCUUGCCCCGCAAAUCAUGUAUAAAUCAGAUAUUUCAUUCUGGGAUGGGCAAACAAAGAAGACCAGAGGCUACCGCCCUGCCCAGCACCCAGAAUAAUGGCUUAGAGAGUUUGCUGAGGGAGAGGCAGACUAUAAGAAAAGAGCACUGAUGCCCUCUCCAAAGAAACUGAAUUUAUCUAAAACAGAGUGUGGAGAAGUGCAAGCAUAAGGGUGCUCCUGGUACUAAGAACAACAAGCUAAACAAUACCCUAGCUAGUUCACCAAAAAGAAGCAAAAAAGAGGAAUCUAAGAAGAGUCCUGUGGCAUCAGAAUAAACCUUAAAACUAUCCUUAACAGACUUCUCAAGAUGGCCAAAUAGGAACAGCUCCAGUCUGCAGCUCCCAGUGAGAUCAAUGCAGAAGGGAAGUGAUUUCUGCAUUUCCAUCUGAGGUACCUGGCUUAUCUCAUUGGGACUGGUUAGACAGUGGGCAUGGCCCAUGAAGGGUUAGAAGCAGGGUGGCACGUAGCCUCACCUGGGAAGUGCAAAGGGUUGGAGAACUCCCUUCCCUAGCCAAGGGAAGCUGUGAGGACCUGUGCCGUGAGGGAUGGUGCAUUCUGGCUCAGAUACUAUGCUUUUCCCACAGUCUUCGCAACCCACAGACCAGGAGAUUCCCUUGGGUGCCUAUACCACCAGGGCCCUGAGUUUCAAGCACAAAACUGGGCGGCUGUUUGGGCAGACACCGAGCUAGCUGCAGGAGUUUUUUUCCACACCCCAGUGGUGCCUGGAAUGCCAGCGAGACAGAACCGUUCACUCCCCUGGAAAGGGGGCUGAAGCCAGGGAGCCAAGUGGUCUAGCUCGGCAGAUCCCACCCCCAUGGAGCCCAGCAAGCUAAGACCACUGGUUUGAAAUUCUCACUGCCAGCACAGCAGUCUGAAGUCGACCUGGGAUGCUUGAGCUUGGAGGGGGGAGGGGCGUCCGCCAUUGCUGAGGCUUGAGUAGGCGGUUUUCCCCUCACAGUGUAAACAAAGCCACCAGGAAGUUUGAACUGGGCAGGGUCCACCGCAGCUCUGCAAAGCUGCUGUAGCCAAACUGCCUCUCUAGAUUCCUCCUCUCUGGGCAGGGCAUCUCUGAAAGAAAGGCAGCAGCCCCAGUCAGGGGCUUAUAGAUAAAACUCCCAUCUCCCUGGGACAGAGCACCUGGGAGAAGGGGCAGCUGUGGGCGCAGCUUCAGGAGACUUAAAUGUUCCUGCCUGCCAGCUCUGAAGAGAACAGUGGAUCCCCCAGCACAGUGCUUGAGCUCUGCUAAGGGACAGACUGCCUCCUCAAGUGGAUCCCUGGCCUCCAUGCCUCCUGACUGGGAGACACCACCAAGCAGGGGUUGACAGACACCUCAUACAGGAGAGCUCCAGCUGGCAUCUGGCGGGUGCCCCUCUGGGACGAAGCUUCCAGAGGAAGGAACAGGCUGUAGUCUUUGCUGUUCUGCAGCCUCUGCUGGUGAUACCCAGGCAAACAGGGUCUGGAGUGGACCUCCAGCAAACUCCAGCAGACCUGCAGCAGAGAGGCCUGACUGUUAGAAGGAAAACUAACAAACAAAAAGGAAUAGCAUUAACACCAACAAAAAGGACGCCCACACAAAAACUCCAUGUGAAGGUCACCAACAUCAAAGACCAAAGGUAGAUAAAUCCACAAAGAUGAGGAAAAACCAGCACAAAAAGGCUGAAAAUUCCAAAAACCAGAAUGCCUCUUCUCCUCCCAAGGAUCACAACUCCUUACCAGCAAGGGAACAAAACUGGAUGGAGAAUGAGUUUGAUGAAUUGACAGAAAUAGGCUUCAGAAGGUGGGUAAUAACAAACUCCUCCAAGCUAAAGGAGCAUGUUCUAACCCAAUGAUAGGAAGCUAAGAACCUUGAAAAAAGAUUAGAGGAGUGCUAACUAGAAUAACCAGUCUAGAGAAGAACAUAAAUGACCGGAUGGAGCUGAAAAACCCAGCACAAGAACUUUGUGAAGCAUACACAAGUGUCAACAGCCAAAUCGAUCAAAUGGAAGAAAGGAUAUCAGAGUUUGAAGAUCAACUUAAAUAAAAUGUGAAGACAAGAUUAGAGAAAAAA
RNAcentral lists this long non-coding RNA (4862 nucleotides) under Homo sapiens (human). RNAcentral describes it as "non-protein coding lnc-TASP1-3:2". Lineage: Eukaryota; Metazoa; Chordata; Mammalia; Primates; Hominidae. The record is from RNAcentral.